This is a long non-coding RNA of Dalotia coriaria, 3275 nucleotides long. RefSeq lists it as uncharacterized. The record is from RefSeq and is a predicted model, not a curated record. NCBI's taxonomy places the organism in Eukaryota, Metazoa, Arthropoda, Insecta, Coleoptera, Staphylinidae. The transcript has 3 exons.
UGAUAGUGCUACUGGAUAGAUAAGCGUGGUGCGCCGAUUCGGUACUCAACGUGAAUGAGAGCGCAAGGCACUCAAUCGAAUCGCACAAUCAGUUUAGCAAGCGCGGCGCGCCGAUGAUACAAGUGUUUUGCCCGCGCCGAAUGCCGUCUGGUGCGCGCGCGGCGGUCGAGCCCAGCUCAAACUCGCCGCCGAUUGGCCGGACGCGUAUCGUACGAUGUCUUCGACGUGUGUUCCUCACCUGGCGCGCGCUCGCUCGCACCGAGCGCACGAAAAUAGCGCGCCGCUUCGCCAAUUCACAAUUUGUUUACGCGCGAGAGUACGCGACUAUUUACAACUCAUCAGCGUUGUCCGUGAUCGCCGUAUUUCGCACGAUUGUGAUCGCACCGAUUAUCAUUACGCCAGUGAUUCACCAAUUCAUUUCUCCGGCGUGGGUGACUAUCAGGAGACACGCGAUAUUGUAGUAGCAGUGCGCUGUUAUUGGUCCGUGGUAUGAUUGAUCAUCGUCCUUAUUCGUCAAUUAGGAGCUCAGUACGGCGCUCAAUUGGUAUACAAAAACGCGCGCCGAUAAAUGCACAAUUGCCAUGAAUUAACACUCCAUUCAUGCCUACUUUACUCGCGAUGCAAUCGUACGAAACUCGAAAAAAAAAUCAAGAUGUUCGAAAAUUUCCAGUCAAACUUUCCAGCGCCCAAGGCCAGCCGCAAUAAAAUCCAAAACUUAUCUAGCCGCCACAAAAUUUCCGUCGAGUGUUGAAAUUUUCGCUGAUUUCGGGGCAGAAAUAAAAGUUAAACUCGUAAAAAACGUUUUAACAGUUUCGAAAAUCGCGUUUUUAUUGAGUAAUUAAAAAUUGCGCGCGUUUUACGUAAUUUAUUUCAGUAGAAAUUUAAUACUAAGAUAAAGAGCAUUAAUAUCGCACUUAAAUAAAUAAAUAAACAUUGAAGAGUGAUGACAGUGCGUGCAAAAAACCAUGCAUGACUUUUACUUCCGAAGAUUUGAUUUAUUUCAGUGCGCAUCAUGCUCAUCUUAAGUCUAAUCCAAGUAUAAAGCAGUUAAGUCGACUUACGUGUUAUAAAUAAUGCUGUAUAGAUGGUAAAACACCUUUUGAUUUGUUUAAUCACAGUAUUCAUUCUUCUUCAGGCCUUCCCUUUAGGUACUUCCGGUCGGUAGUAAGUUGUUGUAGGUAAGUAGUAAGUAAGUGACGUUUAGCGCACUUAAUCUUUGGAAUUUUAAGUAUUUUUCUCUUUGAAUACUUCGUCUUAACACAUAAAUAGAUCUUCUUAAACGUUUACGUAACAGGGGCAAUAAUAAUUCUUGUUGAGAAAAUGUUUGGUUUUCAGCGAUUCGGUGAGUUGGACUUUUGUAAGUAAGAGUUGAGUCGGACCACGACCACGUGGAAGCAGCAGCAGCAGGUAGGGAGCGCGAGAGAUAGAGGUAUGGGGCCCGGUGCGCGUGCAAACACGUCGAAUGCUGCCGACUAACUGACUUCGAGCGAACUGAGCGAAGGCGCGAUCGGCGCGAACGUAGCGAGCUGGGUGAUCCGCGAUCCUCUCGCCGCUCCACGGACGCCGGUGCUAUAUAGGGGCCGCCGCACCGCUCGCACCCAUUGCCCAACCACACACAACUCCAUUGCUCCUUGUUCAGCGCACACACACACCUGACGCGUUUGCGUAUGGAUGGUGUGAUGCCGCUGGUUGGGUGACGUCAUGUCGUAUGAUUUUCUACCGGGCGCCCACCAAACCCAUGGUCCCCCCCGGUUCCACCAAGUUUUAGCGUGCGAUUGCAUCGACUACAGCCCAUUCAGACCCAUUCGGAUCGUGUCGCAUACAUGGGAACAACUCGAAUAAAUUCAACAGCUUCCAUUUAAUUAUUUAUUGUUUCUGUUUUGAAUUCAGCCAACGCGCAUUCCUCACAUUUUAUUUUGAUUUAAAAUGUUAGUUUUUAUAUUUUAAGCUACAAAUCGAAAGGAAUUGGCAUUGUAAGUAGGUGAAGUUCGUUUUCACCUUCGAAAGAAAUUUUGUGUCAAAUAUUUCGCACGAUUCUAAUCCCAGCCGACUGGUUUUCAAGGGUAUUUACUCCCAGCAGCGGCGAUUGGCCCUUGCGGCGAUUAAAUUCUUAUCAAAAAAUACGUCCGCGUCCAGUCACAAUCCGAUUGUCGGCCGUACAUUCUAGUCAUUUACAUAUUCCAACAUAUUCCAACUAUUAUUAAUGUUGCGCGCAUUCUUGAUUAAUUGUUUCGUAUCAAUAUUCGUUAUUUAUUAGAUAACAGCCGAACGUGUUUAUAACUUGCAACUGUUACAUAUUUCGAAGCACAUUCCGCGUUUCGUAGGAGAGGCCGGGCGCUGCUUGUUUGCGACGAAUCUGGCCACGCCGGCGGUUGCGGAGGCAGCGAUGGCGGCGCAGAAACCUCAUAACUCAUAACGUAUGCACUUUGGCACCUUUGGCGCUUGAUUUCGAUUUGCCAAGCGCGGAAAACAAACUGUAUAGCGGCGAAUUCAUCAACUCCUACGGGUUUUGAAUGUACGACGGAGUUUCUUUGACAGAUGCGCAUAAUUUAUGUACAUCAAAAAGCUGAAAUUUCAGUUUCGUAUGAUGAUGAUUUCAAAUAUUUGCUCGUUACUUCGAUGUUUACUUAUUCACUUUUUAACCUUACCGUUAGUAUUGGUUUUGGCCCAGUUAUUAAUAUUCGAGACGCAAAAGGUCAUUGCGGUGCGCUUGAAAACAAUACAUUUUUAUCCCUUCGAAAUUAUUGGAAUAUUUGUGAAUAGAAUUUUUUUUCGAAUGUUUAAACUCUGCUUUCCAAAUUUCACGCUAGUUUUCAGUGUGUUGGAUGUACGUCAGUCGAGAUUUGCAUCGCAAAACCGCACGAUUGGACGACUCAUAAUAAUUUACAUCAUAAACACAAGUGAAUAUUAAUUGCGCUGUAAAAAACAAAAAUAAAAAUUGCGUUUUCAUCUUUUCGAUAUUCGCGCACACAGACGCAACGGUAGUGAAACUGCAUAACAAUCGGCGCGCGUGGAUUUACAAGUCAAAUGCGAUUUCGAUGCCGUCUGCGCCUGAAUAUGGGGCGCAACCUUAAGCCGACGUAACCCGAUAGAAGUAUAUGGCACGAAAUUAUCAUUGGAAAUGCGUUGCACACACCGUGAUUGUCACAAUUCGGUGGCAACAGGCGGGCGUGCGUUACCAUGUCAAGAAAGAAAGUUGCGCAUUGUAUUAUGCAUUCAAUUCGACCUAAUGAAUUACAAAAUGCAAUUUUUUUCCUGUUGGAAUAAGGAACAUU